GUCUACGGCCAUGCUACCCUGAACAAGCCUGAUCCUGUCUGAUCUCGGAAACUAAGCAGGGUCGGGCCUGGUUAGUACUUGGAUGGGAGACCACCUAGAAAGACCAGGUGCUGUAGGCG
RNAcentral lists this ribosomal RNA (119 nucleotides) under Pteropus alecto (black flying fox). The record is from RNAcentral. Lineage: Eukaryota; Metazoa; Chordata; Mammalia; Chiroptera; Pteropodidae.